AACGAACGCUCGCGGCUGAUUAGCUUGUUGGUAAGGUAAGAGCUUACCAAGGCGACGAUCAGUAUCUGGUUUGAGAGGACGAUCAGACACACUGGAACUGAGACACGGUCCAGACUCCUACGGGAGGCAGCAGUGGGGAAUUUUCCGCAAUGGGCGAAAGCCUGACGGAGCAAUACCGCGUGAGGGAAGACUGCCUAUGGGUUGUAAACCUCUUUUUUUCAGGGAGGAAUAAAAUGACGUGUACCUGAAGAAUAAGCAUCGGCUAACUCCGUGCCAGCAGCCGCGGUAAU
Molecule: ribosomal RNA, 290 nt
Filed under: uncultured bacterium
Lineage: Bacteria
Description: partial 16S ribosomal RNA
Rfam family: Bacterial small subunit ribosomal RNA
Source: RNAcentral